CGGGAGAUCGUCGUGGACGAGGUUCUCGCGAAUUCGGUCAGGUCCGGAAGGAAGCAGCCGUAACGAGUUUCGCCUUGGGUCGCGUGCGGUCUCCCACCU
This 99-nucleotide signal recognition particle RNA is filed under the name Rhodospirillaceae bacterium. Its description in RNAcentral is "signal recognition particle sRNA small type". It matches the Rfam family "Bacterial small signal recognition particle RNA". From Rfam's summary of the family: The signal recognition particle (SRP) is a universally conserved ribonucleoprotein involved in the co-translational targeting of proteins to membranes. Archaeal SRP consists of a 7S RNA and homologues of the eukaryotic SRP19 and SRP54 proteins. Lineage: Bacteria; Pseudomonadati; Pseudomonadota; Alphaproteobacteria; Rhodospirillales; Rhodospirillaceae. The record is from RNAcentral.